This 1347-nucleotide long non-coding RNA is filed under the name Homo sapiens (human). RNAcentral's name for it is "non-protein coding lnc-MRTO4-1:12". The record is from RNAcentral. Lineage: Eukaryota; Metazoa; Chordata; Mammalia; Primates; Hominidae.
AAGCAGGUGGUAGCGACUUGGCUUCCGGGCAGCGGGUAAAGGUGAGUCUGGGGCAUGGGUUCAGUGGGCAAGUCUAGGGCAGCAGAGUUGACUACGCCUCGGCGUAUAGAAUGGCCCUGGCCUGGGACAGCUAAGGACGACAAGAGGAGGCCGAAGCCUAAAACGCUUUCACCUGCUUCUUCCCCUGCCUAGAUCCCCCCAAUAGUAAUACUAAAGAGCGCCAUAGUUUACAAAGAUUUCUCCCUCUCACAACACCUUUUAAUCACUGAUCCGUAUUCCCUUAGCACUCAAAUCUCUUCUGUUUGGAUUGCCCUCAUUAACAAUCUGACCAGCUCGUACAAUGCAUCCCUCUUUGCAAUUUGCCACGUAUGCUUACGUGUUCCCCUUUUUUCUACUGGCAAGGAAAGAAUGUAAGCUUUUAUUCACAGGAGAUGUCUGAGACUUUUGCCGGUAAAAUGAUCUGGCUACAAGGUCUAAGAGGGAAAAGCAGUUUGCUCGAGGAAAGGUAUUCGUGCAUUAAGGACAGUCCUGUGAGUGAGAUAUUGGUGGACGGCUUCAAGCUCUAGCCUGUGGCCUACAGCUGGCCUAAAUAAGACUGGGAAGGAACUGUGAAGACGGUUUCAAAUUCCUAAAGCCCUGAAAUUCUCCCCCUAAGUUUAGGAAGAGCUUUUGUUCUUGGUGUGUAACACUGAUAAAUGAAUUGGUACCUAGUGAUUAAUCUGCACUUUUAUUAAGAUAUGACCUACUUUACCUUUUUUGAGACAGGAUCUUGCUCUGUCGCCCAAUAGCCCAGGCUGGAGUGCAGUGGCAGAGUUGCAGCUGGCUGCAGCCUCCACCUCCCUGGCUCAAGUGAUCUUCCAGCCUCAGCCUCCCCAGUAGCUGAGACUAUACAGGUGCAGGCCACCACUCUUAAUUUUUUUUGUUUGUUUUUAAGAGACAGGUCUCCCUACGUAGCCCAAGCUGUUUUCGAAGUCCUAGGUUCCUCCCACCUUGGACUCCCAAAGUGCUGGGAUUACAGGCUUGACCCACUGCGCCCAGCCUGCAUCUUUACAUUCGAAAUAAAAUUCAGUCAAGUCAAAGCCGGUCUUGGAGGAAAAUGUGGCUUUGAUGACAGCAGUAGGGAUUUUCCUUCAGUGCCUACUUACCAGAGGAUAAUAAUAACAGCAAGUUUCUUAAACAUAAAAACAUCAGAAAUGAAAAAGAACUUUCCAUAACACUAUAAAUAUUGCAGUAUUUCAAGAUACUGAACCAGAGCCCUAAGGAAAGGCUGGAGACCCAGAAUUUUAUAAUGGCUUUGGGACAUGAAUUUUAUUUUAACCAGAGGACAAAAUUAAUCUGCAAAAGCUG